This is an RNA transcript of Hippocampus zosterae (dwarf seahorse), 2172 nucleotides long. It is a transcript of the gene named OMA1 zinc metallopeptidase, with no coding region annotated. NCBI's taxonomy places the organism in Eukaryota, Metazoa, Chordata, Actinopteri, Syngnathiformes, Syngnathidae. The transcript is spliced from 10 exons. The record is from RefSeq and is a predicted model, not a curated record.
UAUUUCUUCUGGACUUAAUUACGGGAGGAAUUAUUCUGCUCGGUGGAAUAAGUUACAAUUCCCCUCGCAUAGGAUUAAAUUCAACGCCCUUUUGUUUUAAACAGCACAAAACAUGUCUUCGACUGAAACUUGGUCAAAUGUCACCAAGGUUACAAGGAACUCGCGUGACAUUGACAGUCAAUGACUUGCAGCGAAGACCUCCAUGAUGUUUCCCUUCUUAAAAGGACUUCCGCGAGCUCACCUGACGCGACACUUGCUGGGGUGCCAGCAGUCCCUCUCAUUGACAGCUCCUCGCCGGUUUCGAUACGGAGCCACUCGCGGCGGCAUACCCGUUUUGCCUUCACACGGCACCACCGGGACGGUCUUGGCCAAAACUGCUCCCCCACUUCAAGUUCCAUCAUGUGUGACUCAGUUUCGUACCUCGACCCGUGCGAAGGCCUUACCUGCUCCUCUCAUCUGGAUAGUGCUCAAGCCUGUUCAAAAGCUCACGGCCAUCAUACUGGGCAGGAGUCUAAGGAAGUGGUGGGUGGCGCUGCCUGACAAUCGGCGUCAGCUCUUCCGCCAGUGGGCAUGGCAGCGGCGCUGGCGGCUGGUGGUGGCAGCAGGCGUGGGCGCCAUUAUCUCGAUCCUCCUCCUCCUCACGCAUUUGGAUCAAUCGCCGGUGACUGGCCGCACGCGCCUUUUGGUGUUCAGCAGGCAGAACUACAUGGAGCUGGCGGCUUUCACUUCAAAGGCGUACAUGGAGGAGUUUGGCGAUCGGCUGCUCCCCGAGAGCGACGCUCGUCACCGUGUGGUUGAGCAGGUGGUACAGCACCUGGCCCGGCGUAACCAGGACCUCCCCGAAAUGGCCGACGUGGACUGGAGUGUCCAUGUGGUGCAGAGUGACGACAGCAAUGCCUUUGUGCUCCCGAAUGGCAAAGUGUUCAUUUUCACCGGCAUGCUGGAAGCUGUGGCAGAUGUCCACCAGCUCACCAUCGUGCUUGGACACGAAAUGGCUCAUGCUCUACUGGGACACGCCGCAGAGCAGGCGAGCCUGUCUCACGUGGUGGACCUCCUGUCCGUGGUCCUGCUGGCCGCCAUCUGGGCCGUGUGUCCCCGCGACAGCCUGGCGCUGCUGGGUCAGUGGGCCCAGGACAAGCUCACGCAGCUGAUGUUCAACCGUCCAUACAGCAGGAAGCUGGAGGCGGAGGCGGAUCAAGUUGGCUUGCAGUUGGCGGCGAAGGCUUGUGCGGACGUGCGCGCAGGCCCGGUUUUCUGGCAGCAGAUGGAGAUAAGGGAGCAGCUGAGUGGAGAGCCCAGCCUACCUGAGUGGCUGUCCACGCAUCCGUCACACAAGAACCGCGUGACGCAACUGGACCGCCUCGUGCCUCAAGCAUUGGAGUUGAGGGAGCGCUGCGUGUGUCCCGCCCUGCCGCCCGCCGAUCCCCGCGCCAUCUUCUCCGAGAGUGUGCGCGUGCUGCUGGAGGACGCCAAGGCGCGGCCGCGACCGGCCGCAGGCGGCACGCCUCAACACGGGCCCGUCGGGGUGGCGGCUCCCGCGGCUCUGCUCGCCCGAUCGCCGACAACUUUUCCAUCCGGCUUGAGUCACGGGGACAAUAAAGCUUUGGACGGAGCCGGAGCGCCACCGUGACACCACCUCCAGAACGAACAAGGACGUGGCCCGAAGACUGAAGCGCCAUCAUUGAACCCUUUCAGGCACCCUGUCACCUGAUCACAUGAUCAGCUAUCCACUGCAGUGACCCAGCUGUCCCUGAAAGGGUUAAACAGCGAUUGUCAAUCAUGGACCGUCUCACAUAAAGACUGAAACUGAAGGGGUUCAUGUCUCUACAGGAUCUCAAGGAAGGUCCUCAAGGAGAAAUCUCCUUCAACAUGUUUUUUUUUUUUUAACACGUUACUGACAUUCGAUACCGGAAGGGUGAGUUGGUUUUGCAUUUUGUUUUUAUCGUGCAGUGGUUUUGCACGUGUUGAGCCAUUCAAAUGUGACUUCACGGUGAAAUUAAUGUAAAAUUAUAACAAGAAUUGUCGGCGACAGAAGUCACGCACACGCACGCCGGUUGCCGGGCGGAUUUCGAGGCCAGAAAAGGAGAAGACAACGGAAGCAUCUCAAUUGACAAAGAAGCUGUGAAAACAAAGAGCCUUCGUCUUACAGUGAGCUGCCGUCAUUUACAUUUG